Gadus macrocephalus (Pacific cod) is the source of this 1409-nucleotide long non-coding RNA. RefSeq lists it as uncharacterized. NCBI's taxonomy places the organism in Eukaryota, Metazoa, Chordata, Actinopteri, Gadiformes, Gadidae. The transcript has 2 exons. The record is from RefSeq and is a predicted model, not a curated record.
GCAUAUACAUGCAAACGUCCACUUCGUCUAUCUGGUAUUUGCUGAUUCGAAAACGUGUGUGUGUGUGUGUGUGUGUGUGUGUGUGUGUGUGUGUGUGUGUGUGUGUGUGUGUGUGUGUGUGUGUGUGUGUGUGUGUGUGUGUGUGUGUGUGUGUGUGUGUUGUGCUUUAUUAAAUGGCUACACUUGCACUUGAGAUUCUUGAACGUUUGUUUCCGGCCUUCGGUAUGCUUCUGCUGAGCUAAUUGCGCACUGUGCUAGACUUCUGGACUUUAAACUGAAGAGGAGUUGUUAUAAUUGCAGCGCUUCAUUAGCACUUUUGAUCAUUGUUUGUACCCAAAGCCAAUGUUAAAGUAGUUAUUAAAACUUGAAUGUAUUCUUCUAAAGCAAUCAAUUAAGGAUUGUGGGAGUUUUUUAUUUGCUGUCAAACAAAACACACAAAGUUAUUCAGGGUUUUGGUAAGGGUUUUGUGUCCCUGUCAUAUCAACUAUGUUUAAAUGCUGUUCCUCUUUGAUUCGAAAUGAAAUGUAUGAAAAACAUUUAAUAAAUACGUCCCAUGCUAAAUAAAUCUCCUGUAAUCAAUGGUGAAAUGUUGUGUUCACAUAGAGCAGCUUUAAUAAAGACAACCAAGCCAUGAAGGUAACAGUAUAUUUAGAUAUCGCUUGAUCGGUACUGGAUGAAUCUCUACACAUUAACACGUAACGAGAGUCCCACUAAGGAAACGCGACUCAACCAUCACAGGGAGUGACGCAGACCGUCACUACUGUAAGGUAAAAGGAACGGGAAAGCCUCGUUACUUUUGAUCUCAACAGGCUACAAAGCACCAUCUGAAGAAAAUCAGCCAUGGAUGAUUUUUGCAUGAACUCCAAAAGCUCAGAUAAACUCUGAUCGCAGUAUUUGCCAUCCCGGGCUUCAGGGCGCCUUCAGAGCUGCUCUCCGGUGGAACCCAGCUCAUCCGGUUCAACCUGCACGGGCCUCAUUCCUCGCUGAAUGCAGGACUUGUAUGAACCUCCACUAUAUAAAGAGUCGCAAGGCGUUAAAGUCACUCAGUCUAGACACGGACCGCAUAAGGAAGGAUCUCCGCCAGGACUUUGAGAAGAGAGCUGCAAGUCUUACGCCACUAAGAAGAUUCUGGAGUCUUGUUGAUUAAGUGGUUCUUAACAGUUCAACAGUUCAUUUCCAAAAUUGUGAAAUGUUUAGGACCACUUAACCAAUCAGACAAUUGCUUCGAGUAAUAGCUGGCGACCUGUGGUUUAGGAAAACCCCAUCGUCACAUGUCUGAGGCCUACGGACACGAAACGAAGCACUUUUUACAUUGACUUGAAUUAUCUUCUGGAGCAGGCUGAGCAACUGCUACUGAGUUUGUAUUGGAUUGUAAAUUACUGGACCAACAAUAAAUCGACAAAGACUAA